CCUACGGGAGACAGCAGUGAGGAAUAUUGGUCAAUGGACGAGAGUCUGAACCAGCCAAGUAGCGUGAAGGAUGACUGCCCUAUGGGUUGUAAACUUCUUUUAUAUGGGAAUAAAAUGUUCCACGUGUGGGAUUUUGUAUGUACCCUAUGAAUAAGGAUCGGCUAACUCCGUGCCAGCAGCCGCGGUAAUACGGAGGAUCCGAGCGUUAUCCGGAUUUAUUGGGUUUAAAGGGAGCGUAGGUGGAUUGUUAAGUCAGUUGUGAAAGUUUGCGGCUCAACCGUAAAAUUGCAGUUGAAACUGGCAGUCUUGAGUACAGUAGAGGUGGGCGGAAUUCGUGGUGUAGCGGUGAAAUGCUUAGAUAUCACGAAGAACUCCGAUUGCGAAGGCAGUUCACUGGACUGCAACUGACACUGAGGCUCGAAAGUGUGGGUAUCAAACAGGAUUAGAUACCCGUGUAGUC
This 460-nucleotide ribosomal RNA is filed under the name uncultured bacterium. RNAcentral describes it as "partial 16S ribosomal RNA". It matches the Rfam family "Bacterial small subunit ribosomal RNA", at positions 338 to 795 of the family's 1533-position model. The record is from RNAcentral.